Molecule: ribosomal RNA, 742 nt
Filed under: uncultured bacterium
Lineage: Bacteria
Description: bacterial SSU rRNA
Rfam family: Bacterial small subunit ribosomal RNA
Source: RNAcentral
UGGACAGCCUUCUGAAAGGAAGAUUAAUACAAGAUGGCAUCAUGAGUUCACAUGUUCACAUGAUUAAAGGUAUUCCGGUAGACGAUGGGGAUGCGUUCCAUUAGAUAGUAGGCGGGGUAACGGCCCACCUAGUCUUCGAUGGAUAGGGGUUCUGAGAGGAAGGUCCCCCACAUUGGAACUGAGACACGGUCCAAACUCCUACGGGAGGCAGCAGUGAGGAAUAUUGGUCAAUGGGCGCAGGCCUGAACCAGCCAAGUAGCGUGAAGGAUGACUGCCCUAUGGGUUGUAAACUUCUUUUAUAAAGGAAUAAAGUCGGGUAUGUAUACCCGUUUGCAUGUACUUUAUGAAUAAGGAUCGGCUAACUCCGUGCCAGCAGCCGCGGUAAUACGGAGGAUCCGAGCGUUAUCCGGAUUUAUUGGGUUUAAAGGGAGCGUAGAUGGAUGUUUAAGUCAGUUGUGAAAGUUUGCGGCUCAACCGUAAAAUUGCAGUUGAUACUGGAUAUCUUGAGUGCAGUUGAGGCAGGCGGAAUUCGUGGUGUAGCGGUGAAAUGCUUAGAUAUCACGAAGAACUCCGAUUGCGAAGGCAGCCUGCUAAGCUGCAACUGACAUUGAGGCUCGAAAGUGUGGGUAUCAAACAGGAUUAGAUACCCUGGUAGUCCACACGGUAAACGAUGAAUACUCGCUGUUUGCGAUAUACGGCAAGCGGCCAAGCGAAAGCGUUAAGUAUUCCACCUGGGGAGUAC